UACGUAGGGUGCGAGCGUUAAUCGGAAUUACUGGGCGUAAAGUGUGCGCAGGCGGCCGCGCAAGUCGAGUGUGAAAUCCCCGAGCUUAACUUGGGAAUUGCGCUCGAAACUACGUGGCUGGAGUGUGGCAGAGGAAGGUGGAAUUCCACGUGUAGCGGUGAAAUGCGUAGAUAUGUGGAGGAACACCAGUGGCGAAGGCGGCUUUCUGGUCUGUAACUGACGCUGAGGCGCGAAAGCGUGGGGAGCAAACAGG
RNAcentral lists this ribosomal RNA (253 nucleotides) under uncultured bacterium. Its description in RNAcentral is "partial 16S ribosomal RNA". It matches the Rfam family "Bacterial small subunit ribosomal RNA", at positions 524 to 776 of the family's 1533-position model. The record is from RNAcentral.